GUUCAAGCCAACCAUGGACAAGGAGAAGAACCCAAUGUCUGGAAUUAUGGACUUAAAGAAUACUUUAGGUUCCCCCAUUUGGUUUUGAGAGCUGUUACUCGUGUGGCAUGCAUUCGCAUAAACAUGCUUGCUGUGAUCCAUAAUCGGCCUGCAAGAACAAGUGGUCAUACAUGAACUGCUGUUCAGCAUCCGUUGGCCGGACCUAAAAGCUAUCACAGAGAAGUACGACCACCCCAAGGUACAACCAUUAUCUCAAUUUGGUUGCUAUUUUCGGCAUGUUGUACUCUGUUAAAAUUUGUCUGCUUAAACAUGUUUACAAUUUGGGUGUCUGUAGACAAUGGUAUCUCCACAAGAUAUUCCUUCAUCUUUCUUUGAAGACUGCAAUGCUUAAACAUGUUUACAAUUUGGGUGUCUGUAGACAAUGGUAUCUCCACAAGAUAUUCCUUCAUCUUUCUUUGAAGACUGCAAUAAGUGAAGCCUGAAGACUAGAGAAUAUUUUUGGAGAAAUUCUGCAGGAGAUGCUGAAAAUAUUUUGAUUGUAGGAUAAUUUAAAUCGGUCAAGAAAUGUGUCAUUCCCAACUUUGAAAAAAGUUGCUACUGAUCUUACCGUUCCCGUCACAUUAGUAGCAAUUGAAGCACUUUUGUACAG
RNAcentral lists this long non-coding RNA (649 nucleotides) under Setaria italica (foxtail millet). RNAcentral describes it as "long non-coding RNA (SITA_LNC002128)". The record is from RNAcentral. Lineage: Eukaryota; Viridiplantae; Streptophyta; Magnoliopsida; Poales; Poaceae.